AGGACUGUGCAGAGGACACAAGCUCCAGUAUUGCAGCUAAUAAAAAAUAAAGGCUGUUCACACCAAGUCCGAACGGUUCUGUACGUUAGCUACAAGAGAUCUGGAAAUAUUCUACACUGGUUCAUACUAAUUAUAGGAUUUUAAUACUGGGAUAAGCUAUAUGGGCUUGUCUCAUUUAUUUUCACAAUUAAGACAUCGCUCUUACAUAUAAAAAACACCCUUGAGGAAGUCUGUUAGAUGAAACGCGUUGGGUGAUUUAACCUUUGUGGGUUGAACGGGCUGUCAUAGGAGCUCCUCUUCGGCUGGGGUAGACAGCAGUGCCAUUAAGACCUUAUCCCACGAAUGUUAAUAUUGAUGUAA
Molecule: long non-coding RNA, 360 nt
Organism: Pseudophryne corroboree (corroboree frog)
Lineage: Eukaryota; Metazoa; Chordata; Amphibia; Anura; Myobatrachidae
Exons: 4
Source: RefSeq, a predicted model, not a curated record